Molecule: ribosomal RNA, 253 nt
Filed under: uncultured bacterium
Lineage: Bacteria
Description: partial 16S ribosomal RNA
Rfam family: Bacterial small subunit ribosomal RNA
Source: RNAcentral
UACGUAGGGUGCAAGCGUUGCCCGGAUUUAUUGGGCGUAAAGGGCGCGUAGGCGGCUCGGCACGUCCGUUGUGAAAUCGCCCGGCUCAACUGGGCGGGGUCAGCGGAUACGGCCGAGCUUGAGCAAGCUAGGGGGCAAUGGAAUUCCCGGUGUAGUGGUGGAAUGCGUAGAUAUGACAUAGAACACCAAUUGCGAAGGCAGCUCACUACACGAAUAUUGACACUGAGGCACGAAAGCGUGGGGAUCAAACAGG